AUACAGAGGGUGCAAGCGUUAAGCGGAAUUACUGGGCGUAAAGCGCGCGUAGGCGGUUUAAUCAGUCGGAUGUGAAAGCCCCGGGCUCAACCUGGGAACUGCAUUCGAUACUGUUAAGCUAGAGUAUGGUAGAGGGAAGUGGAAUUCCAGGUGUAGCGGUGAAAUGCGUAGAUAUCUGGAGGAACAUCAGUGGCGAAGGCGACUUCCUGGACCAAUACUGACGCUGAGGUGCGAAAGCGUGGGGAGCAAACAGGAUUAGAUACCCUAGUAGUCC
Molecule: ribosomal RNA, 274 nt
Filed under: uncultured bacterium
Lineage: Bacteria
Description: partial 16S ribosomal RNA
Rfam family: Bacterial small subunit ribosomal RNA
Source: RNAcentral